RNAcentral lists this long non-coding RNA (1466 nucleotides) under Anas zonorhyncha (Eastern spot-billed duck). Its description in RNAcentral is "lncRNA (ENSAZOG00000008401.1)". The record is from RNAcentral. Lineage: Eukaryota; Metazoa; Chordata; Aves; Anseriformes; Anatidae.
AUUUUCAAAAGUGGGUACGGAAAGAUCCUCACUGUUUAUUCUCUUAACUUAUGUCUCAUUGCUGUGUACAUUCCUCCCGUCUCGCUGUUCACCACCUUCCACGGUUUGUUUGACUGUAUGCUUUAUGACUGAUAUCAAGAAAAUACAGACAUAUGGGUAGUGACGCGGCUCACUAAAGCUCACCCUCGCAGUGCAUCUGAAGUACAGCCACUUCAUCCAGUUGGUCUGUCCUGUAAAUAAAUUAAAGUUAUAUUAUUUUCAUACAAGAGGAAUGUUGUCUGGUGAUUGACACGAGCAGGAUUUUUCCCCUGUAAAGUCUGUUAUUAAGAUCUGAGAUAAACUUGGCUAGUCAGACUGACUACAUAAAUGAAAACACCCUGCUUUGCUGCAGCCAUUUUUCCUGUCUUGGAGUUCUUUUGUUUAAAAGAGCAAACUUUCCAUUUGGAAAUAGGAAUAUUGCUAGAUAUUUAAAUGUCUAGAACAACACGCACUAAACUCCCUAUAGAUGGAUGUUACUUUCUGCCUCUGGGGUCAGAAGAUGCUGCUAAGGUGAAUAUUGUCUCCGUCUACCUCUAGUUUAAAGGUAUCACCUUUGGAUAAGCCUCCAACAGCUCACCUCUAACAGCCUUCUGAAAGAAAACGUGAAAUACCUCCCAGCUAUGUAUUUUUGUCUUUCCCAUCCCACACAAAUUUAAACCUUGUUUGGAAGCUCUGUAGAAGAUGUAAAACAAAACUUCAAAAGGGAGAUCAGGUACACGCUAAUUUAUUGCCCAUUAAUUGUGUUCAGCUGUUAACAAGCUUUCAAAUGAGGAAGAGCUCUACUUGAAGUCAGCCACUUCGUUACGCUUAAUGCAUCAAUUGCUGUCAUUGCCAGAAUUUCUUCAUUUCUUCUGUUUGACUUUGUUUUGGGGUGGUGGUGGUGGUUGUUUUUAGCCAUUGUUACUGCUGUCCUGUUGGCUUUAACGCAGGAAUGCAGGAGCCGAAUGUGUGAUUUACCUCUGAGCCUCCCUUGUCUAAAAACACCCCGAAGGGCCAGCAGUGUGGCUGUGGUGUGCCUCCUCCUUCCUCUCCCAGAACUCAGGCUGGAUCUGCCCCCCUGGUGCUCAGCUUGAGGAUCACCAAAACCCUCAAGGAAAGCUUUCCAGGAUCGUGUCCUCCUAAGAACCAACUUUUAAAAGGUCGCUGUGGCUUUGAAACAUUAACCAGGCAUCUGUCUGCCUCUUUAAACACCUACACACGCAUAAAAAAGCUCACCACAACAGCACGGGUUUGUAGUUCCGUCUGAAAGAAACUAGAAAUGUGUUUUAAUAAUGCAAUCCGCAGCCACCACAUCUGAGGCUAUGGGCAGGCACAACCUGCUCGCGCACGGUCCCAGCCCUGCUGCUGGUGGUUGAACCUGACAGGUCCCGUGUGCUCCUGGCAAGGUGAGCACCAUUGCUUCCUCUCCAUGUCACCGAUGUUUUAUG